Non-coding RNA from Oncorhynchus mykiss (rainbow trout), 2424 nucleotides. The record is from RefSeq and is a predicted model, not a curated record. Lineage: Eukaryota; Metazoa; Chordata; Actinopteri; Salmoniformes; Salmonidae.
UCGCUUCAGAUGGAUAAAUGCCUGUGCACAAAAUACCGUUAUGCUGUGUAAUAGAACUAUGCUUAGCCACAGUAGCUAGCUAUAGCUAACGUUCUCAAUAUGUUGUUCAAAUCUAAUUUUAUUUGUUGGCUAGCAAGGCAAAUAAUUAAAUUUUGUUUACUAGCUAGCAUGCUAUCGCAUGACAUGUUUUAAUCUUUCCUGGUUGUUUGGUCAUGGGUCUUAUUUAAUUUGACAGUUUCAGGAAUAUUUAUUGCAUAAAAUGUAACUACCAAUUAGCCGUUGGCUAAUUUAGUAUCGCCAGGCUAAUGCUGCGUUCAUAACCAAGUGGGAAGGUGGUAUUUAGUAGUUACAUAAAGAAACGUGUCUAUUAUUCAUGUUCUCCGACAUCUCCCACAUGCUGAUCUCUGACGUCACCUACUAAGAAAUAACCUCGAUAACAGCAUUUUUGGCAGUAAAAUGUACAGUGUUUUUCAGCGAGUUCAAAGAGCUUGAAUGCCGCCAACGGGUAAAUACCACCUUCCCACUUGGAUAUGAAUGCAGCAUAAUAGUUUGUUUUGGUUUCAGAAUCCUUGUUGUUGUAUCUAACUAACGUUACUAAUCCGCUGUCCCAUUCAGAUUAGACGGGAAAUGUUAUUAAACAUUAUACAGUGUCUAUUCACAAAGCUGCCUGGGGAGAUUUUGCAGACACUCCGACGUAGUCUAAACAAAAAGAGCCCAGCACGAGAUACAAUGUUUUAAACGUUUGGAACUUAAAGGUCUGACAAAAUCCAAAAAGGUUCAAACCUGGAAGGAACUCUUCCUCGAGUUCUAUACUGACUUGGGUCACUACAUUGAUCACUAAUGGCACCCUGAAUAAAGCCUGGGAUGACCUGAAGGGAUACCUUGACCCCAGGAUGAUCGCCUCUGUCAAAGGAAGAAGAGCUGGAUGGCAUUGAGGCGCAGUUUAAUGGGAAGCAUGGCCCUGUCUAACCACUAGCGCUCAGAGGACCUGCUGGAUAAUGAAACGGAAGCAGGGGGCUUUAAGCAGCGCAAGGUCAUGAGGCCAUGUUUGCCCCUCACCUUCUGCUUCCACACAGGCCUCAGCCAAUACAUGGCCCUUAUUUCACCUUUAUUUAACCAGUUCAUUCCAGUCAUUGGCAGCAGAGAACUGGAAGGAGAGGCGGCCAAAGGAAGAAUUGGUUUUGGAGGUGACCAGAGAGAUAUACCUGCUGGAGCGCGUGCUACAGGAUCAAAUGGCACAAGAUCCAUCUGCAAUUGACAUGUUCAUCACAGGUAUGAUGAGAUAUUAGUUUGUUACUGAGGGAUUCUGUAUUUUACAUUAUAGCCAUUAGCAUAUAUAUGAUUAAAUAUUAUCUGAUGUUGGUUGUGUGAGGUAUCUGCAUUUGUGCACUGGAGCAUCAUUAUGAGAUUAAACAACUGCUUGCUACUUGCCUGUUUGUGUGUGUGACAAGAACUGAGUAACAUGGUGUGACCUACAUGUUGCAAAACUGUAGAUAACAGCCCAGCAGAUGCUUUGUCCUUGUGUUUGUAUGUAACAAUAUUGAGCACAUGGUGUGACUUGCUGUAUCUUACAAAGUUGCGGUUAAGCAGGCAUAGGGAGGGGUGGUCAUCAUGAGGUUUAACUGAGAUGGAAAAAUACUGAACAACACAAUAGCAGGAACUGAGCAACUGUUAUAACCAGGGGGUGAUACCAGAACAGUAGGAAUCUUUUCAUCGACGGAGGGAGGACUCCAAGAAACGCCAAGAGGCGGGGACCUGCCUGAGCGCCUGCGAUAGGCUGAGCAAGUUUAAACCACGCCCAGCCUCUACUGUGAUAGGCCAACAGACGGGUUGGAACAAUGUCUAUCACAGUAUAAGAACACUGUUUAUGUACAUCCUAUCAGUUCCCUGUUCUGCCCUGCGUGGUAUUACAGUGAGCCCGUAUAUACGAAAGUUGCAUUUGCCAUUUAUUACUUAGCUAAUAAAAAAUACAUAGUAUACAAUCGGUGACUCAUUGUUAUAUUUAUCCUGAUACCAGAUUCGAAUUUACGCAACUCUAACAUUACAUAUAUUAUAAAAAUAUUCAGUUAGGUUGUGUGAAGAUGUAUCAUGGCGACAUCUCACUGCAAGUUAAGCAAACUUAAAAGCAACUUUUAUUUGGAUGCUUAACAACUAGGUUAUGUAAGUCCAGGAAUUCUUCAAGGUACAGAGGAUUCUGGCAUUGCUCCCAUUCUUGAGGUUGUGGACUAACUGCAUGAUGGGAGAUGUGAAAUAUAAACUGCUGUAUUGCAACAUAGCACUUCAUUAAUGGAAUAAAAAAAAUGAAAGUCUGGAUUAUUUGCUAAAAUAAUAUUUGUUGAUAUUCAAUGUUAGUUCCUCAACAUAAAUGGAUUUGAACUUAUGCAGUGUCUCACUUACUCAUUAUUUUUCUUCCUCUCACUCUAA